GAUGAACGCUGGCGGCGUGCCUAAUACAUGCAAGUCGAGCGAACGGACGAGAAGCUUGCUUCUCUGAUGUUAGCGGCGGACGGGUGAGUAACACGUGGAUAACCUACCUAUAAGACUGGGAUAACUUCGGGAAACCGGAGCUAAUACCGGAUGAUAUUUUGAACCGCAUGGUUCAAAAGUGAAAGACGGUCUUGCUGUCACUUAUAGAUGGAUCCGCGCUGCAUUAGCUAGUUGGUAAGGUAACGGCCUACCAAGGCAACGAUGCAAAGCCGACCUGAGAGGGUGACCGGCCACACUGGAACUGAGCCCCGGCCCAGACUCCUACGGGAGGCAGCAGUAGGGAAUCUUCCGCAAUGGGCGAAAGCCUGACGGAGCAACGCCGCGUGAGUGAUGAAGGUCUUCGGAUCGUAAAACUCUGUUAUUAGGGAAGAACAUAUGUGUAAGUAACUGUGCACAUCUUGACGGUACCUAAUCAGAAAGCCACGGCUAACUACGUG
Molecule: ribosomal RNA, 497 nt
Filed under: uncultured bacterium
Lineage: Bacteria
Description: partial 16S ribosomal RNA
Rfam family: Bacterial small subunit ribosomal RNA
Source: RNAcentral